This 640-nucleotide ribosomal RNA is filed under the name uncultured Methanomicrobiales archaeon. RNAcentral describes it as "bacterial SSU rRNA". It matches the Rfam family "Archaeal small subunit ribosomal RNA", at positions 403 to 1046 of the family's 1478-position model. The record is from RNAcentral. Lineage: Archaea; Methanobacteriati; Methanobacteriota; Methanomicrobia; Methanomicrobiales.
CGGGCUGUCCAGGUGUGUAAAAAGCAUCUGAAGAAAGGGCCGGGCAAGACCGGUGCCAGCCGCCGCGGUAAUACCGGCGGCUCGAGUGGUGGCCACUUUUAUUGGGCUUAAAGCGUUCGUAGCUUGGUUGUUAAGUCUCUUGGGAAAUCUCACGGCUCAACCGUGAGGCGUCUAAGGGAUACUGGUAACCUAGGGACCGGAAGAGGUGAGAGGUACUCCAGGGGUAGGAGUGAAAUCCUGUAAUCCUUGGGGGACCACCUGUGGCGAAGGCGUCUCACCAGGACGGCUCCGACAGUGAGGGACGAAAGCUGGGGGAGCAAACCGGAUUAGAUACCCGGGUAGUCCCAGCCGUAAACGAUGCGCGUUAGGUGUAUCGGUGACCACGAGUCACCGAGGUGCCGAAGGGAAACCGUGAAACGCGCCGCCUGGGAAGUACGGUCGCAAGGCUGAAACUUAAAGGAAUUGGCGGGGGAGCACCACAACAGGUGGAGCCUGCGGUUUAAUUGGACUCAACGCCGGGAAGCUCACCGGAUAAGACAGCGGAAUGAUUGCCGGGCUGAAGACUCUGCAUGACUAGCUGAGAGGAGGUGCAUGGCCGUCGUCAGUUCGUACUGUGAAGCAUAAUCGAAUUCCCGCGGCC